GACGAACGCUGGCGGCGUGCUUAACACAUGCAAGUCGAACGGAAAGGCCCUGCUUUUGUGGGGUGCUCGAGUGGCGAACGGGUGAGUAACACGUGAGUAACCUGCCCUUGACUUUGGGAUAACUUCAGGAAACUGGGGCUAAUACCGGAUAGGAGCUCCUGCUGCAUGGUGGGGGUUGGAAAGUUUCGGCGGUUGGGGAUGGACUCGCGGCUUAUCAGCUUGUUGGUGGGGUAGUGGCUUACCAAGGCUUUGACGGGUAGCCGGCCUGAGAGGGUGACCGGCCACAUUGGGACUGAGAUACGGCCCAGACUCCUACGGGAGGCAGCAGUGGGGAAUAUUGCACAAUGGGCGGAAGCCUGAUGCAGCAACGCCGCGUGCGGGAUGACGGCCUUCGGGUUGUAAACCGCUUUCGCCUGUGACGAAGCGUGAGUGACGGUAAUGGGUAAAGAAGCACCGGCUAACUACGUGCCAGCAGCCGCGGUGAUACGUAGGGUGCGAGCGUUGUCCGGAUUUAUUGGGCGUAAAGGGCUCGUAGGUGGUUGAUCGCGUCGGAAGUGUAAUCUUGGGGCUUAACCCUGAGCGUGCUUUCGAUACGGGUUGACUUGAGGAAGGUAGGGGGGAAUGGAAUUCCUGGUGGAGCGGUGGAAUGCGCAGAUAUCAGGAGGAACACCAGUGGCGAAGGCGGUUCUCUGGGCCUUUCCUGACGCUGAGGAGCGAAAGCGUGGGGAGCGAACAGGCUUAGAUACCCUGGUAGUCCACGCUGUAAACGGUGGGUACUAGGUGUGGGGUCCAUUCCACGGGUUCCGUGCCGUAGCUAACGCUUUAAGUACCCCGCCUGGGGAGUACGGCCGCAAGGCUAAAACUCAAAGGAAUUGACGGGGCCCCGCACAAGGGGCGGAGCAUGCGGAUUAAUUCGAUGCAACGCGUAGAACCUUACCUGGGUUUGACAUGGAUCGGGAGUGCUCAGAGAUGGGUGUGCCUCUUUUGGGGUCGGUUCACAGGUGGUGCAUGCCUGUCGUCAGCUCGUGUCGUGAGAUGUUGGGUUAAGUCCCGCAACGAGCGCAACCCUUGUUCACUGUUGCCAGCACGUUAUGGUGGGGACUCAGUGGAGACCGCCGGGGUCAACUCGGAGGAAGGUGGGGAUGACGUCAAGUCAUCAUGCCCCUUAUGUCCAGGGCUUCACGCAUGCUACAAUGGCUGGUACAGAGAGUGGCGAGCCUGUGAGGGUGAGCGAAUCUCGGAAAGCCGGUCUCAGUUCGGAUUGGGGUCUGCAACUCGACCUCAUGAAGUCGGAGUCGCUAGUAAUCGCAGAUCAGCAACGCUGCGGUGAAUACGUUCCCGGGGCU
This 1346-nucleotide ribosomal RNA is filed under the name uncultured bacterium. RNAcentral's name for it is "partial 16S ribosomal RNA". It matches the Rfam family "Bacterial small subunit ribosomal RNA", at positions 28 to 1381 of the family's 1533-position model. The record is from RNAcentral.